AAAUCCUUAGUGUCAUUUGAUUAUUUUAACAAUAUAAUAGACGAAACAGCUAAGGAUGAAUCCUUGUUCAAGGGUUUUAAGGAUUCAGUCCUUGAGGACGUGGCAUCAUUCUUCAUUUUUUUCAAUAGAUUCUCCUCCCCUUUUUUGUCACUGACGGUGAUCACUCCAGCUACACGUAUCGCGCCGCAGCUUCACUGAUCCUUUAACCACCGAUUGACACUCCCCUCCGCCUCUAAGAAACUCCUCUUCCUCAGAAACCCCACUCCCAGCCCCACGUUCGUCGCCGUCCGGUUCCAGAAACCUUACUCCGAUCGGCUCAACGGAAUCCACGAACCAUGCCUUUUCUGCUUCGUUCAAGCGGCCUCACCUUCAAGCUCCACCCUCUCGUGAUGCUCAACAUCUCCGAUCACUUCACCAGGGUCAAAACUCAGCUCAACCCUCCAUCCGAUCAGCUCAACCAGGGUCAUCGCUUUCUUCCUCUUUAAGGUACUGAUCGAAUCAUCACCAUGGCUAAGAACUCAUUCAAGCUCUCUAAUCCUCUUGGACUAUGUGCCUACUGUGUUUGAUAAUUUUCAGCGCCAAUGUGAUUGUGGAUGGAAACACUAUCAACUUGGGAUUGUGGGAUACUGCAGGCAAGCUACCUUUUCAUUUCAUCAUUCUCUUUCUGAAUAUUUUGCUCUGCAGAGAGAGAGUGAGUCGUUUGUUUAUUUGUUUUGGACUCUGGAUGAAACAUGACAAGAAGACUACAAUAGACUAAGGUCUUUGAGCUAUCGAGGUUCAGAUGUCUUCUUACUUGCCUUCUCACAUUCAGUUUCGGUUAAGUUGAUGGUGUUUAUGUGAAUAAAUGGUUUAAAUUUGCAGCAAGCUUACUUCAAUUUUGUAAUACUUCAAAUACAAGUGCUUUGACAAAAGCAAUUUUGUAUAUAUUAAGGACUUUAAAUUGAAAUACA
Raphanus sativus (radish) is the source of this 950-nucleotide long non-coding RNA. RefSeq lists it as uncharacterized. The transcript is spliced from 3 exons. Lineage: Eukaryota; Viridiplantae; Streptophyta; Magnoliopsida; Brassicales; Brassicaceae. The record is from RefSeq and is a predicted model, not a curated record.